CACGACCGGUCGGACGCCAUCAGUGUGUUCGGCCCACAAGUGGAGGCUCCGAACUCCCACCCGACCGCCCUCCGGGACGGCGGGUCAUCCGGUCAGGCGGCCGCCAUCGUUCCGUACGGACGAUGGAGUCGCCCGAUUGUGCGCCCCGCGUUCACCGCGUCGGUGCUCCGGUGACAAGGAGCCCCGCCUGUGAUCGUCCGGGGCAUUUUUU
RNAcentral lists this non-coding RNA (211 nucleotides) under Streptomyces sp. F-1. RNAcentral's name for it is "Streptomyces RNA 1601". It matches the Rfam family "Streptomyces RNA 1601". Rfam says of the family: Identified by deep sequencing of transcriptome at the end of exponential growth phase. The record is from Rfam by way of RNAcentral. Lineage: Bacteria; Bacillati; Actinomycetota; Actinomycetes; Kitasatosporales; Streptomycetaceae.